Molecule: long non-coding RNA, 1279 nt
Organism: Lolium rigidum
Lineage: Eukaryota; Viridiplantae; Streptophyta; Magnoliopsida; Poales; Poaceae
Exons: 3
Source: RefSeq, a predicted model, not a curated record
AUUAAAGCUGCACUUAUUCUGGUGUGGUUUAUAAGUUGUUUUCAAAACCAGUUUUAAAAUCAAAGAGGAAACAUAUUUUCGAAAUAAAAUAAAACCCCUCUCUUGGGCCCUCCCUCUCUCUGGCCCAGCUCUCUCUCUUCCUGGACACCAUCUUCCCGGAGGCCACCUCUUUUCCCCAGCUCACCGACCCAUUCCUACCUUUCAGCCCGAACCACCUCACCGUCUCAGCCCGUACCCCUUUCGAUCUUUCUAUCCAUCCUUGUCGUCUUCCACACCGAGCACGCACUUUGCGUGAGCCCUGUGGUCCUCUUCCCCCUCCACCACGACGCCAACCAUCGCUCCUCCUUAUCUCCUCGUUCUGGACCACGCCCGUUUCCUCCAGCCCCAAGUUUCCUCUCCUUCCCUUUUCUUCUUCCUGUGCAAGCAACGGGAGAAACUCCCUCAGUACCGCCACUGCCUCGCCUUGGCGCCAUCACAGCAAGCCACCCCGCGUCAAGCCGAGGGCACCAGGAGAUCCACGGCGUCGUCCUCUACAUCCUCGUCCAAGGAAUCGACCUGAGGCGCUUUGUAUCAAGCGCACGGUCGCCGAUUCCUCCUCCGUCUCCGGCGAGAUAAUCCUCAAUUCCGGCCGCUGGAGACCUCCCCCAUCCUCUCCGACCUCAUCCACGGCUUCCUGGUGAUGUGCUCGUUCUUCCAGACCUCUUCCCCGUCUCAAUCUCGUCCUCGUUUUCUUUCUACCGACGUUGACCACCGGUAACCUCCGCAGGAGCUCGUAGCCGGCGACACUCCGGUGCAUCCCCGGCCAUCCCAACACUUGCAGCUGAACCGCUACGUCAUGGCGCACCCUCGACGCCAUCUGUCUCGUCCCGGGUCGCUCUUAUCCGCCGAAUCCAUCACAGACCUGCUCCUCCGCCAUGGCUGCAAGCUCUUCCUCACGUCCUCGGCUGGUUCAAGUUUUGUCCAGCCUCUUUUGUACAACAAAAGCAUGAGCAGCACACUGUUCUCGCGGCGAAGAUGCUUCAAUAAGUGUAGAGCCUUUUUCUAUAUCAACAACGGGGACGUAGCAUGUCUGGUUCGUCCUUUAUCCUUGAAUCCGGAGACCCAGGUUCAAAUCACAAGCUACAGGUUUAAUCAUCCAAUUCUUUUUGUUCCUACUGAGAUCCGGCGCCUACUGGGCCUCGGGCCGUAUCCUCGUCAGCUUCUUCGAUGCCAAGCGCGCGGCAGCCCGCUUUUCGCUGCUCAGCAUUUUCUUCUUCCUGGAUAGGAUCACGAAGUGGUG